UACGGAGGAUGCGAGCGUUAUCCGGAUUUAUUGGGUUUAAAGGGUGCGUAGGCGGCUUUUUAAGUCAGCGGUGAAAUUUUGCAGCUUAACUGUAACAGCGCCGUUGAUACUGGGGAGCUAGGAUUUGGUUGCUGUGGGUGGAAUGUGUGGUGUAGCAGUGAAAUGCUUAGAGAUCACACAGAAUAUCGAUUGCGAAGGCAGCUCACAAAGCCAAGAUUGACGCUGAGGCACGAAAGUGUGGGGAUCAAACAGGAUUA
RNAcentral lists this ribosomal RNA (257 nucleotides) under uncultured prokaryote. Its description in RNAcentral is "partial 16S ribosomal RNA". It matches the Rfam family "Bacterial small subunit ribosomal RNA", at positions 524 to 780 of the family's 1533-position model. The record is from RNAcentral.